GAUGAACGCUGACAGAAUGCUUAACACAUGCAAGUCGACUGUGGCGGACGGGUGAGUAACGCGUAAAGAACUUGCCUCACGGAUAGGGACAACAUUUGGAAACGAAUGCUAAUACCUGAUACUGUGAGAGAGCUUUGCGUCCCAUUAGCUAGUUGGAGAGGUAACGGCUCACGAAGGCGAUGAUGGGUAGCCGGCCUGGGAGGGUGAUCGGGCACAAGGGGACUGGGACACGACCCUUACUCCUACGGGGGGCAGCAGUGGAGGAUAUAUGACGAUGGACCAAAGUCUGAUGCAGCAAUUCUGUGUGCACAAUACAGUUUUCGGGAUGAAAAGUGCUUUCAGUUGAGAAGCGGUACCAACAGAAGAAGUGACGGCUAAAUACGUGCCAGCCGCCGCGGUAAUAC
This 404-nucleotide ribosomal RNA is filed under the name uncultured bacterium. RNAcentral describes it as "partial 16S ribosomal RNA". It matches the Rfam family "Bacterial small subunit ribosomal RNA", at positions 28 to 526 of the family's 1533-position model. The record is from RNAcentral.